Molecule: ribosomal RNA, 466 nt
Filed under: uncultured bacterium
Lineage: Bacteria
Description: partial 16S ribosomal RNA
Rfam family: Bacterial small subunit ribosomal RNA
Source: RNAcentral
GAUGAACGCUGGCGGCGUGCUUAACACAUGCAAGUCGAACGGAAAGGCCCAAGCUUGCUUGGGUACUCGAGUGGCGAACGGGUGAGUAACACGUGGGUGAUCUGCCCUGCACUUCGGGAUAAGCCUGGGAAACUGGGUCUAAUACCGGAUAGGACCACAUUUUGGAUGGUGUGGUGGAAAGUUUUUCGGUGUGGGAUGAGCUCGCGGCCUAUCAGCUUGUUGGUGGGGUAAUGGCCUACCAAGGCGUCGACGGGUAGCCGGCCUGAGAGGGUGUACGGCCACAUUGGGACUGAGAUACGGCCCAGACUCCUACGGGAGGCAGCAGUGGGGAAUAUUGCACAAUGGGCGCAAGCCUGAUGCAGCGACGCCGCGUGGGGGAUGACGGCCUUCGGGUUGUAAACUCCUUUCGCUAGGGACGAAGCGUUUUUGUGACGGUACCUGGAGAAGAAGCACCGGCUAACUAUGU